Non-coding RNA from Salvia hispanica, 1029 nucleotides. The record is from RefSeq and is a predicted model, not a curated record. NCBI's taxonomy places the organism in Eukaryota, Viridiplantae, Streptophyta, Magnoliopsida, Lamiales, Lamiaceae.
AAAACAAAUGUAUAUCGUCAACUUAGGGCUUGUCUGGUACCCCUGAAACGCCGUGAAACAGCAUUCCUCACCCCAUUAACCGCUGUUUGGUAGUUCCAGCGACCCGGUACACAACAGCCGGGUUUCCAACCUUCAUCUACUACAAUCAGCGUCUUCGUGCUAACACAAUCAGAGUCUUGAGCAGUUGGUGGCUCAAUUUCCGUCGAGGCGAGUUCAACACUACACAGGCGUAUCCUCCCUCUUCGACUCACUUCAGUUCGGCGUUCAUCGGAUUACCGUUUUCCGGUUGAGUUUUGAUCUGGAAACAGAGCAGCCGAAGCAGGCUAUGGAAACCUAUAGGAUCUUGCUCGAUAAACCACAAUGAGCACAUGCUCGGCCAAGCUCAUAAGUUUCUCGGCAUCUGCUAUGGGAAUGCUGCGAUGAUAUCCACGUCUGAUUCUGAAAGAGUCGCUCUACAUAGAAACUCCGUUAACUCGUUCAGCCAUACAUUACGCGCUGGGAUUUAAGAUCCGGAGAUCAGCUUCCAACUCGGGUUGGAAAACGCUGUACAGAGAAACUUGGCUUCGGCUUUCAACCAAGCCAUGGUGUACUCAAAGACGAGCGCUGGCAGCUCUGCAAGAGGCUGGAAACUUUUGACGCGCGUUGCAUCAGCUGAGCAGAGGCUGGUGGAUGCAGAAGCCAUCGUUGAUCUUGCAUUGGACGAAACAGAAAGCAUCAAACAGAUUGAGCUUCUUAGGUUGAAAGCCCUUGUUCAGAUCGCUCAAGAGCAGCCGAAGCAUGAAAAGCGCGAAUAAGGUGGAAACCAAUUACUAUGAAUAGGAGGAGCAAUACACAGCAACACAACGGAGAGCAACCAAUUACCUUGCCGCAGCUUUAUCCGAUGCACGGCGGGUCGUCGUUUGAUCGCUAGGGUAGAUUUUUUGUUAAAGGAGCCGCUGAACAAAUUUGAGUUAUGUAAACCCUAUUUAAGCCAUCUAAUUGACACUAUUCACUCUUGGCAGGAAGAUAAUCAUUUGUUUACCGCCUGAA